RNAcentral lists this ribosomal RNA (116 nucleotides) under Bacillus amyloliquefaciens. RNAcentral also lists the same sequence under 5 other names. Lineage: Bacteria; Bacillati; Bacillota; Bacilli; Caryophanales; Bacillaceae. The record is from RNAcentral.
GCUGGUGGCGAUAGCGAAGAGGUCACACCCGUUCCCAUGCCGAACACGGAAGUUAAGCUCUUCAGCGCCGAUGGUAGUCGGGGGUUUCCCCCUGUGAGAGUAGGACGCCGCCAGCC